Molecule: ribosomal RNA, 254 nt
Filed under: uncultured bacterium
Lineage: Bacteria
Description: partial 16S ribosomal RNA
Rfam family: Bacterial small subunit ribosomal RNA
Source: RNAcentral
UACGUAGGGAGCAAGCGUUGUUCGGAUUUACUGGGCGUAAAGGGCGCGUAGGCGGCAAAUUAAGUCAGCUGUGAAAUCUCCGAGCUUAACUCGGAACUGUCAGCUGAUACUGGUCUGCUAGAGUGCGGAAGGGGCAAUCGGAAUUCUUGGUGUAGCGGUGAAAUGCGUAGAUAUCAAGAGGAACACCUGAGGUGAAGACGGGUUGCUGGGCCGACACUGACGCUGAGUGCGCGAAAGCCAGGGGAGCAAACGGG